This 777-nucleotide non-coding RNA is filed under the name Megacrania alpheus adan. The record is from RNAcentral. Lineage: Eukaryota; Metazoa; Arthropoda; Insecta; Phasmatodea; Phasmatidae.
CUAUUUAAAGAUGUUAGUUUGAUUCUGACUAUUUUAUUAAAUUUUAGGAAAUUGUACAUGUGAAUUUUUGAUAAAAAUUUAUUUUAUUAAUUGCAGUGCUUAAUAUUGAGUAUUAUGUUAAUAUAGACUUGGUUAUUCUUUUUAUUAUUGUAAAUGUUUGUGCCAGCAUACGCGGUUAUACAAUAAAUAUUAUUUAAUAUUUUUGGUUUAAUUGAAGUUAAUUUUUUUUUGUUGAGUUUAAUUUAUUUAUUUUUGGGUGAAAUUUUAAAUAUUUAUUAAUCUUUAUUAGGUUCUUUUAAAUAUAAAUUUUAAACUAGGAUUAGAUACCCUAUUAUUUUAUUCGUUAAUUUUUACCUGGGUAAUAAUAGAUAUAUUCUUUAAACCUAAAGAAUUUGGCGGUGUUUUAGUCUAUUCAGAGGAAUUUGUCCCGUAAUCGAUAGUCCUCGUUUUAAUCGUUCUUAAUUUUGUAAUCAGUAUGUAUACCGCCGUUAUCAGUUUAUAUUAUUAGAUUAAUAAUUUACUUUAUUCUAAAUUAAGAUUUAUUUCAGGUCAAGGUGCAGUUUAUAGUUAAGUGGAGAUGGAUUACAUUAUUAUUUAAGUAUUACGGAUUAUUUAUUUAAAUUUUAUUAUGAAGGUGGAUUUGUUGGUAAUUUUAUUUAUAUUGUUAUUUUGAUUUUAGCUCUAAAAUGAGUACAUAUCGCCCGUCACUCUCAAUAUAUUUGAGAUAAGUCGUAACAAAGUAGAUGUACUGGAAAGUGUAUCUAGGAUUAUAAUAUU